UUCUGGCUCAGGAUGAACGCUAGCUACAGGCUUAACACAUGCAAGUCGAGGGGCAGCAUUGGAGUAGCAAUACUUCAGAUGGCGACCGGCGCACGGGUGAGUAACACGUAUCCAACCUGCCGCUUACUCGGGGAUAGCCUUUCGAAAGAAAGAUUAAUACCCGAUGGUAUAAAGAGUUCGCAUGUUCUCUUUAUUAAAGAAUUUCGGUAAGCGAUGGGGAUGCGUUCCAUUAGAUAGUUGGCGGGGUAACGGCCCACCAAGUCUACGAUGGAUAGGGGUUCUGAGAGGAAGGUCCCCCACAUUGGAACUGAGACACGGUCCAAACUCCUACGGGAGGCAGCAGUGAGGAAUAUUGGUCAAUGGACGAGAGUCUGAACCAGCCAAAAGUAGCGUGAAGGAUGACUGCCCUAUGGGUUGUAAACUUCUUUUAUAAGGGAAUAAAGUGAGGGACGUGUCCCUUUUUGUAUGUACCUUAUGAAUAAGGAUCGGCUAACUCCGUGCCAGCCGCCGC
Molecule: ribosomal RNA, 511 nt
Filed under: uncultured bacterium
Lineage: Bacteria
Description: bacterial SSU rRNA
Rfam family: Bacterial small subunit ribosomal RNA
Source: RNAcentral